RNAcentral lists this unclassified non-coding RNA (240 nucleotides) under soil metagenome. RNAcentral's name for it is "partial contains 5.8S ribosomal RNA, internal transcribed spacer 2, and large subunit ribosomal RNA". The record is from RNAcentral.
AACGCACGAGACCUGCGGACCUGCGGAAGGAUCAUUACCGAGUUUACAACUCCCAAAACCCCUGUGAACCUAUACCAUUACUGUUGCUUCGGCGGGUCAUUGCCCCGGGGAAAGGACGAGGUGCCGCCUAGGCUCCCCGGCCCGCCCCCGGAAACAGGCGCCUGCCGGGGGAAUCAAACUCUUCUGUAUUUUUUACUUUUACUGUUAUACUGUCUGAGUACAAAACUAUAAAUGAAUCAA